Molecule: ribosomal RNA, 465 nt
Filed under: uncultured bacterium
Lineage: Bacteria
Description: partial 16S ribosomal RNA
Rfam family: Bacterial small subunit ribosomal RNA
Source: RNAcentral
GACGAACGCUAGCUGCGUGCUUAACACAUGCAAGUCGAACGGAAAGGCCCUGCUUGCAGUGUAUUCGAUUGGCGAACGGGUGAGUAACACGUGGUUGAUCUUCCCUUCCCUUCGGGAUACUCCUGGGAAACUUUGUCUAAUACCGGAUAGUAGCCAUUUUUAUUGUGAUGGUUCGACAGUUUUUUCGUUGUAGGAUGAGCUCGCGGCCUAUCAGCUUGUUGGUGGGGUAAUGGCCUACCAAGGCGGCGACGGGUAGCCGGCCUGAGAGGGUGGACGGACACAUUGGGAAUGAGACAAGGCCCAGACGCAGACGGGAGGCAGCAGUGGGGAAUAUUGCACAAUGGGAGCAAGCCUGAGGCAGCGACGCCGCGUGGGGGAUGACGGAAUUCGGGUUGUAAACUCCUGUAGCGAGGGACGAAGCUUUUUGUGAAGGUACCUAGAUAAGAAGCACCGGCUAACUACGUG